Molecule: long non-coding RNA, 544 nt
Organism: Cajanus cajan (pigeon pea)
Lineage: Eukaryota; Viridiplantae; Streptophyta; Magnoliopsida; Fabales; Fabaceae
Source: RefSeq, a predicted model, not a curated record
ACUUUUUUGUGAAACACUGAUACAAGAACUUAACAUAACAUCUAUACAAAAUUUUGGGAUCAUUUAUAAAAGAUUUGAAAAAUAGUUAUGGCAAAGAAUGAGAUGAAAACUACUGGGUUUGUGAUUAUGAUCAUCGCCAUGUUUUGUUUCGCACAAGCUAAAUACAAUUAUUCACUUGUGCAAGUUGAGUCAAACUAUGACUCUUUUAAAUUAUCCACAUGUAAAAUUAGAUGCGCAAUACAAUGUGCACUUUAUAGACCAUAUAAAUUGUGUGUGAAACUUUGUGAAGUACAACAUUGUCAUAAAAUGUUUGUCGAUGCUAUCUACAAUUGUAUUAGUAGUUGUGACUUGAUCAAACCGGUUGACAUUAAUAUUGAUGAUCGUGGUCGUCUUCCAGUUCAUGCGGUGGAUGCUUGCUUGAGAAAGUGUCAAAACAAGUAAUAAUGUUACAAGAAUGUUAAAGAAAUGGUUGUUAUGAGAAACAAUGUUUAGCCAAUAAAGGUGUUUAUUGAAAUACUUCAAUCUUGAGCUUAAUUUGAUGAUA